UAAUCAUAUGCUUGUCUCAAAGAUUAAGCCAUGCAUGUCUAAGUACAAGCCGCGUACGCGGCGAGACUGCGGACGGCUCAUUAAAUCGGUUAUGAAUCCACUGGGGCCAGACUCACCCGUGGAUAACGUGCGGUAACUCCGGUGCUAAUACAUGCAACARGGCUCCGACCCCGUCUUCGGGCGGGGGAAGGGCGCACUUAUUAGGCGAAAACCAAUGGCUCGGCCUCGCGCCGAGCGUUGGUGGACGACACCCGAGUAAUUGCCGCCGAUCGCACGGCCUCAGCGCCGGCGACGCCUUCACUGAGUUUCUGAUCUAUCAUGCUGUCGACGGUUGGUGCUAUGCCAACCGUGGCGUUGACGGAUAACAGAGAAUCUGGGUUCGAUUCUGGAGAGGCCGCAUGAGAAACGGCGACCACUUCCAAGGAAGGCAGCAGGCACGCAAAUUACCCACUUCGGACACCGAGAGGUAGUGACGAACAAUACCGAUGCGGCGCACUUAUGUGUCGCCGUAAUCGGAAUGAGUACACUUCAAAUCCUUUAACGAGGAUCNACUU
Molecule: ribosomal RNA, 554 nt
Filed under: Bugula neritina
Lineage: Eukaryota; Metazoa; Bryozoa; Gymnolaemata; Cheilostomatida; Bugulidae
Description: SSU rRNA
Rfam family: Eukaryotic small subunit ribosomal RNA
Source: RNAcentral